This 298-nucleotide ribosomal RNA is filed under the name Discocyrtus longicornis. Its description in RNAcentral is "partial 16S ribosomal RNA". Lineage: Eukaryota; Metazoa; Arthropoda; Arachnida; Opiliones; Gonyleptidae. The record is from RNAcentral.
GCAUAAUCAAUAGUUUUUUAAUUGAAAGCUGGAAUGAAGGGUAGAUACUAAAAAGGAGGUUUUAUUUUAAGAAUUUGAAUUUUAAUUAAAAAUAAAAAUGUUUUUAUUAAUCUUUAGGACGAGAAGACCCUAGAAGCUUAAAAAUUUAAUAUUUUUAGAUUGGGGUAAUCAUUGAAGAAUAAUUAUUUUUAAUAUUUUAAAAAUUGAAAUAAGAAAAGUUACUCUAGGGAUAACAGCGUUAUUUAAUUAACAAGUUCUUAUUAAUAAUUAAGUUUGCGACCUCGAUGUUGAAUUAAUU